UAACAAGGAUUCCCCUAGUAACUGCGAGUGAAGCGGGAUGAGCUCAAAUUUAAAAUCUGGCGGUCUCUGGCCGUCCGAGUUGUAGUCUGGAGAAGCGUUUUCCGCGUCGGACCGUGUACAAGUCUCCUGGAAUGGAGCGUCAUAGAGGGUGAGAAUCCCGUCCAUGGCACGGACCGCCGAUGCUCUGUGAUACGCUCUCGAAGAGUCGAGUUGUUUGGGAAUGCAGCUCAAAAUGGGUGGUAAAUUCCAUCUAAGGCUAAAUAUUGGCGAGAGACCGAUAGCGAACAAGUACCGUGAGGGAAAGAUGAAAAGCACUUUGAAAAGAGAGUUAAACAGUACGUGAAAUUGUUGAAAGGGAAACGCUUGAAGUCAGUCGCGUCUCGUAGAACUCAGCCUGGUUUCGGCCUGGUGUACUUUCUAUGUGGACGGGUCAACAUCAAUUUUGACCGUUGGACAAAGGUGAGGGGAAUGUAGCGUUGCUUCGGUGACGUGUUAUAGCCCUUUGCUGUAUACACUGGUUGGGAUUGAGGACUGCAGCGCGCCUUUAAUGGCCGGGGGUUCGCCCUACGUACCGCGCUUAGGAUGUUGGCAUAAUGGCUUUAAGCGACCCGUCUUGAAACACGGACCAAGGAGUCUAACAUGUUUGCGAGUGUUCGGGUGGAAAACCCUUGCGCGUAAUGAAAGUGAAAGUUGGGAUCCUCCGCAAGGGGGUGCACCGACGCCCGGCCCUGAAGUUCUCUGACGGUGCUGCGGUAGAGCAAGUAUGUUGGGACCCGAAAGAUGGUGAACUAUGCCUGAAUAGGGCGAAGCCAGAGGAAACUCUGGUGGAGGCUCGUAGCGAUUCUGACGUGCAAAUCGAUCGUCAAAUUUGGG
This 873-nucleotide ribosomal RNA is filed under the name Mensularia lithocarpi. RNAcentral describes it as "eukaryotic LSU rRNA". It matches the Rfam family "Eukaryotic large subunit ribosomal RNA", at positions 66 to 915 of the family's 3401-position model. The record is from RNAcentral. Lineage: Eukaryota; Fungi; Basidiomycota; Agaricomycetes; Hymenochaetales; Hymenochaetaceae.